CAAAUUAUAGCUUAAUAAAGUUUUUUAUUUACACUAAAAGGAUAUCUGUUAAUUCAGUUUAAUUUGA
This 67-nucleotide transfer RNA is filed under the name Osphya sp. n. RNAcentral describes it as "tRNA-Val". The record is from RNAcentral. Lineage: Eukaryota; Metazoa; Arthropoda; Insecta; Coleoptera; Melandryidae.